RNAcentral lists this ribosomal RNA (439 nucleotides) under uncultured bacterium. Its description in RNAcentral is "bacterial SSU rRNA". It matches the Rfam family "Bacterial small subunit ribosomal RNA", at positions 354 to 796 of the family's 1533-position model. The record is from RNAcentral.
GUCGAGAAUCAUUCGCAAUGGGGGAAACCCUGACGGUGCGACGCCGCGUGGAGGAAGAAGGCCCUCGGGUUGUAAACUCCUGUCAAGAGAGAGUAACGCUAUGUAAAUAGCUUGAGAGUAUCUCUAGAGGAAGGGGCGGCUAACUCCGUGCCAGCAGCCGCGGUAAUACGGAGGCCCCAAGCGUUGUUCGGAUUUAUUGGGCGUAAAGGGUGCGUAGGCGGCAUCUUAAGUCUGGUGUGAAAGGCGCGGGCUCAACCUGCGGACUGCAUUGGAUACUGGGAUGCUAGAGGACUGGAGAGGAGAAUGGAAUUCACGGUGGAGCAGUGAAAUGCGUAGAUAUCGUGAGGAAGGCCAGUGGCGAAGGCGAUUCUCUGGACAGUACCUGACGCUGAGGCACGAAGGCUGGGGGAGCGAACAGGAUUAGAUACCCCGGUAGUCC